GGGUUAGAAAUAAAUAUAGACUGAAUAGAGAAAUUGGUUAAAUCUAAUCAAGAGUUCAAUUAGAUUGGGUCAGAAUUUCUCUAGAUCAACCUCAAUAGUUGAAGCUUAAUCAAGUUCAUAUUUUUUGACCUUACUAAAUGGACCAUGAUCAUGGCUUAGUAGUUGAGUCUGAAUCUUCUGGUGGACCAAAUCGAAACUAAUUAACUAGUUGUCUCAGGUAAGUUUGAUAGUUUUGAUCAAGUGGUUAUUAAUUGGGAGAUACUCACCUAGAUGGCGUCUACGACGAGUUAAUG
This 293-nucleotide long non-coding RNA is filed under the name Elaeis guineensis (African oil palm). RNAcentral describes it as "long non-coding RNA (EGUI_LNC031723)". The record is from RNAcentral. Lineage: Eukaryota; Viridiplantae; Streptophyta; Magnoliopsida; Arecales; Arecaceae.